Molecule: ribosomal RNA, 465 nt
Filed under: uncultured bacterium
Lineage: Bacteria
Description: partial 16S ribosomal RNA
Rfam family: Bacterial small subunit ribosomal RNA
Source: RNAcentral
GACGAACGCUGGCGGCGUGCUUAACACAUGCAAGUCGAACGGAAAGGCCCCUUUGGGGGUACUCGAGUGGCGAACGGGUGCGUAACACGUGAGUAACCUGCCCUUGACUUCGGGAUAACUUCAGGAAACUGGGGCUAAUACCGGAUAGGAAUCCUUGCUGCAUGGUGGGGGUUGGAAAGCUUCGGCGGUUUUGGAUGGACUCGCGGCUUAUCAGCUUGUUGGUGGGGUAGUGGCUUACCAAGGCUUUGACGGGUAGCCGGCCUGAGAGGGCGACCGGCCACAGUGGGACUGAGAUACGGCCCAGACUCCUACGGGAGGCAGCAGUGGGGAAUAUUGCACAAUGGGCGGAAGCCGGAUGCAGCAACGCCGCGUGCGGGAUGACGGCCUUCGGGUUGGAAACCGCUUUCAGCAGGGGCGAAGCUUGUGGUGACGGUACCUGCAGAAGAAGCACCGGCUAACUACGUG